Molecule: ribosomal RNA, 465 nt
Filed under: uncultured bacterium
Lineage: Bacteria
Description: partial 16S ribosomal RNA
Rfam family: Bacterial small subunit ribosomal RNA
Source: RNAcentral
CCUACGGGAGGCAGCAGUAGGGAAUCUUCCACAAUGGGCGAAAGCCUGAUGGAGCAACGCCGCGUGGGUGAAGAAGGUCUUCGGAUCGUAAAACCCUGUUGUUAGAGAAGAAAGUGCGUGAGAGUAACUGUUCACGUUUCGACGGUAUCUAACCAGAAAGCCACGGCUAACUACGUGCCAGCAGCCGCGGUAAUACGUAGGUGGCAAGCGUUAUCCGGAUUUAUUGGGCGUAAAGGGAACGCAGGCGGUCUUUUAAGUCUGAUGUGAAAGGCAUCGGCUUAACCGGAGUAGUGCAUGGGAAACUGGGAGACUUGAGUGCAGAAGAGGAGAGUGGAACUCCAGGUGUAGCGGUGAAAUGCGUAGAUAUAUGGAAGAACACCAGUGGCGAAAGCGGCUCUCUGGUCUGUAACUGACGCUGAGGUUCGAAAGCGUGGGUAGCAAACAGGAUUAGAUACCCCUGUAGUC